RNAcentral lists this ribosomal RNA (308 nucleotides) under uncultured eukaryote. RNAcentral's name for it is "partial 18S ribosomal RNA". It matches the Rfam family "Eukaryotic small subunit ribosomal RNA", at positions 1470 to 1796 of the family's 1831-position model. The record is from RNAcentral.
CCCUUAGAUGUGCUGGGCCGCACGCGGGAUACAAUGACCCGUUCAGAAAGUAUAACCUGACCCGGAAGGGAGUGGGUAAUCUUUUUAAUGCGGGUCGUGCUAGGGAUCGAUCUUUGCAAUUAUAGAUCUUGAACGAGGAAUACCUAGUAAGUGCAAGUCAUCAGCUUGUACUGAUUACGUCCCUGGUGUUUGUACUCACCGCCCGUCGCUCCUACCAAUUUCGAAUGAUCCGGUGAACCUUUUGGAUUGGGUGCAAGCCUAAGAAGUUAAGUAAACCUUAUCAUUUAGAGGAAGGAGAAGUCGUAACA